AUUAAAGCUGCCACUGUUGAAAAUGAAUUGGAGAUUCAUAACCUUGAUGAUGAGUUUGAUGGAGAAGAAGAGGAUUCUUGCAUUGAUGAUCAGAAUGCCUUGAAGUAUUUGUUAAAUAAUAUUUUUUAGAUAAUAUUUGAGUUAAGAUGAUGUAGAUUAAAAUGUGUUUGAAACAAUUAUGUUUUGAGUUGCUGUUAUGAAUAUUAUGAUUGAGGAAGUUAUGUGUUUUUUUAAUUGAAUAUUUGCUAUUAUGAUUAAGUUAAUGAGAAUUUUAUGUUAAGGUUAUUUUUCCUAGUUAUUCUUUAAUUUUGUCUAUUUGUUGGGAUCUUACGAUCCUACGAUUUACGCUUUUUUCAUACCCUAACGAUCUUUAUCGAGAUCCCGAUUUUGACAACCAUGGCUGGAAGUACUAGUGGAGACAGACUAGAAGGAGGGGUGAACCUUAACCUAAGUGAAGUAGAAAAAGUGAGAUCUCUCCUUAGUAAGUUGGAGAAACCAACAUGUACUUGUUCUUUAACACGUCUAGGUACGUUUCUAUUAUCUUUUCCAUUUGGCAACUCUCCUUUUUCGUUUGGAUUUAAUGCUUUAGAUAUACCCUUUAAACAAUACUUGAUAUUAGAUUCUGGAGCCACUGAUCAUAUGACAC
This 646-nucleotide long non-coding RNA is filed under the name Lathyrus oleraceus (garden pea). RNAcentral describes it as "Pisum sativum (pea) long non-coding RNA (PSAT_LNC031390)". Lineage: Eukaryota; Viridiplantae; Streptophyta; Magnoliopsida; Fabales; Fabaceae. The record is from RNAcentral.